CACAAGCGGUGGAGCAUGUGGUUAAUUCGAAGCAACGCGAAGAACCUUACCAGGCCUUGACAUGCAGAGAACUUCCAGAGAUGGAUUGGUGCCUUCGGGAACUCUGACACAGGUGCUGCAUGGCUGUCGUCAGCUCGUGUCGUGAGAUGUUGGGUUAAGUCCCGUAACGAGCGCAACCCUUGUCCUUAGUUACCAGCACGUUAUGGUGGGCACUCUAAGGAGACUGCCGGUGUUAAACCGGAGGAAGGUGGGGAUGACGUCAAGUCCUCAUGGCCUUUAUGACCAGGGCUACACACGUACUACAAUGGCCGAUACAAAGGGCAGCGACACUGCGAGGUGAAGCCAAUCCCGUAAAAUCGGUCUCAGUCCGGAUUGGAGGCUGCAACUCGCCUCCAUGAAGUCGGAAUCGCUAGUAACCGCAGAUCAGCUACGUUGCGGUGAAUACGUUCCCGGGCCUU
RNAcentral lists this ribosomal RNA (458 nucleotides) under uncultured Pseudomonas sp. RNAcentral's name for it is "bacterial SSU rRNA". It matches the Rfam family "Bacterial small subunit ribosomal RNA", at positions 924 to 1382 of the family's 1533-position model. The record is from RNAcentral. Lineage: Bacteria; Pseudomonadati; Pseudomonadota; Gammaproteobacteria; Pseudomonadales; Pseudomonadaceae.